CCUAAGUUCCCAUAUCAAACUGCUCAGUAACACAUGAUCAACUUACCCUAUAGAGAAAAACAACCUCGGGAAACUGAGGAUAAUGUUUCAUAAUUGAAUUGGCUUGGAAAAGUUUUUCAAUGAAAGGGAUAAAAAAAUGGUUUUUAUCUGCUAUAGGAUAGGAUCGUGUUCCAUUAUGGUUGUUGGUGAAAUAAUGGCUCACCAAGCCCAUAAUCGAUAGGGGCCGUGAGAGCGGGAGCCCCGAGAUGGGUACUGAGACAACGACCCAGGCCUUAC
Molecule: ribosomal RNA, 276 nt
Filed under: uncultured archaeon
Lineage: Archaea
Description: partial 16S ribosomal RNA
Rfam family: Archaeal small subunit ribosomal RNA
Source: RNAcentral